GAUGAACGCUGGCGGCGUGCCUAAUACAUGCAAGUAGAACGCUGAAGGAGGAGCUUGCUCUUCUGGAUGAGUUGCGCACGGGUGAGUAACGCGUAGGUAACCUGCCUGUUAGCGGGGGAUAACUAUUGGAAACGAUAGCUAAUACCGCAUGACAACAGUUAUUGCAUGAUAACUGUUUAAAAGGGGCAACUGCUCCACUACCAGAUGGACCUUCGUUGUAUUAGCUAGUUGGUGAGGUAACGGCUCACCAAGGCGACGAUACAUAGCCGACCUGAGAGGGUGAUCCGCCACACUGGGACUGAGACCCGGCUCAGACGCCUACGGGAGGGAGCAGUAGGGAAACUUCGGCAAUGGACGGAAAGCUGACCGAGCAACGCCGCGUGAGUGAAGAAGGUUUUCGGAUCGUAAAGCUCUGUUGUAAGAGAAGAACGAGUGUGAGAGUGGAAAGUUCACACUGUGACGGUAUCUUACCAGAAAGGGACGGCUAACUACGUG
RNAcentral lists this ribosomal RNA (495 nucleotides) under uncultured bacterium. Its description in RNAcentral is "partial 16S ribosomal RNA". It matches the Rfam family "Bacterial small subunit ribosomal RNA", at positions 28 to 507 of the family's 1533-position model. The record is from RNAcentral.